RNAcentral lists this ribosomal RNA (492 nucleotides) under uncultured bacterium. Its description in RNAcentral is "partial 16S ribosomal RNA". It matches the Rfam family "Bacterial small subunit ribosomal RNA", at positions 29 to 507 of the family's 1533-position model. The record is from RNAcentral.
AGUGAACGCUGGCGGUAGGCCUAACACAUGCAAGUCGAACGGCAGCACAGUAAGAGCUUGCUCUUACGGGUGGCGAGUGGCGGACGGGUGAGGAAUACAUCGGAAUCUACUUUUUCGUGGGGGAUAACGUAGGGAAACUUACGCUAAUACCGCAUACGACCUACGGGUGAAAGCAGGGGAUCUUCGGACCUUGCGCGAUUGAAUGAGCCGAUGUCGGAUUAGCUAGUUGGCGGGGUAAAGGCCCACCAAGGCGACGAUCCGUAGCUGGUCUGAGAGGAUGAUCAGCCACACUGGAACUGAGACACGGUCCAGACUCCUACGGGAGGCAGCAGUGGGGAAUAUUGGACAAAGGGCGCAAGCCUGAUCCAGCCAUACCGCGUGGGUGAAGAAGGCCUUCGGGUUGUAAAGCCCUUUUGUUGGGAAAGAAAAGCAGCAGGUUAAUACCCCGCAGUUCUGACGGUACCCAAAGAAUAAGUACCGGCUAACUUCGUG